This 293-nucleotide signal recognition particle RNA is filed under the name Suricata suricatta (meerkat). Its description in RNAcentral is "Metazoan signal recognition particle RNA (ENSSSUG00005008842.1)". It matches the Rfam family "Metazoan signal recognition particle RNA". From Rfam's summary of the family: The signal recognition particle (SRP) is a universally conserved ribonucleoprotein. Lineage: Eukaryota; Metazoa; Chordata; Mammalia; Carnivora; Herpestidae. The record is from Rfam by way of RNAcentral.
GCCGGGGGCUGUGGUGCGCGCCUGUAGUCCCAGCGACUCGGGAGGCUGAGGCAGGAGGAUCGCUUGAGCCCAGGAGUUCUGGGCUGUAGUGCGCUAUGCCGAUCGGGUGUCCGCACUAAGUUCGGCAUCAAUAUGGUGACCUCCCGGGAGCGGGGGACCACCAGGUUGCCUAAGGAGGGGUGAACCGGCCCAGGUCGGAAACGGAGCAGGUCAAGGUAGGAUCAUCGGCAGUCUGCUAUGGGGUGAGAAGGUUUAGGGUAGAUUGCCCUCAUCAACCUCAAUUAGUGCUUUAU